CUCUAACUUUUCGGAUAGGUUUACAGAAUAUAGUUACAUAUUUCUUUUCGCCAUUUUAUGUUAAUUAAGCAUUUUGAUUCAGUAAAUGUGUUUUUCUAUUCAUCCGAGUAUUUAGUUGCUUUUUCAGCUUUUGUUGGAGUGUGACUACUCUCGAAAUAUCUGUCUUCCAAUAUUGAGCCAGGUUUUACCAAAUGACCAGAAGCCACGCCACAUGGAACUGGGAUUUUGAUUCAGAGAAAAAUAUGCAUAAUCCUAUGGACGAUGUGUCGUAAUAGGACUGGAAUUUUGGAACAGCUUCAAUAUUGAAUUGCUUUCGAUUCCGGUUUUUGCAACUCCUGGCCAUGCAACGUCGAGGAGCUUGCCAUUUAUAUGAUGUCUGAUUCUUCUGCUGCCUUCAAAACUCAAGUGCUUAUGACCAACGACUCCGGUGAGGCAGCUGAAAGGACUGCCACUCGUGGGAAUGACGGUGGCUCGAUGGAGAUUUCGUGGGGUUUUGAUUUGGACAAGGGGCGUAGAGCUGCAAUGGAAGAUGCCAUUGCCAUUGCUCCACACUUCCUGCCCCCUGUAGGAGGAUGGAAAGAUGGCGGCUCGUCCAAGGAAGAGGAUUCUCCGGUUCAUUAUUUUGGCUUGUUCGAUGGUCACGGAGGUUCUCAGGUGAGUACAUAUUGUUCAAAGAAGUUCCACGAAUUACUAGCAGAAGAGUGGGUUAGAGGAGGUGGUUCUGACAACAGUCAGAAUGGGCGGUGGGAAAAGGCACUGACAAGGUCUUAUGAGAGGGUAGAUGAUGCCUUCAAGGACAAAACUCUUGCACCAUAUUCGGCUGGAUCGACAGCUUUGAUUGUUCUUCUGUCAGCAUGUCAGAUAAUUGUUGCCAAUUGUGGUGAUUCUAGAGCUUUGCUUUGUCGUGGGAGUAAAGCCAUCCCACUGACGGCUGACCACAAGAUUAGUAGGCCUGAUGAAUAUGAUAGACUUGUUAAGGGAGGAGCAAGAAUCCUGUUUCUGGGCUGCCCUAGGGUCGAAGGAGUACUGUCUAUGACUAGAGCAAUAGGUGAUCAUUACUUAAAACCAUGGGUUAUAUCUGAACCAGAGGUUACAUUUAUGUCAAGGACUGAAGAAGACGAGUGUUUGAUUUUGGCAAGUGAUGGAGUAUGGGAUGUCUUGUCUAAUGAUGAUGUGAUGAAGAUGGCUUGCAGCAUACUGAGGAGGAAACGCAGGAAGUUGGCGUUAGGAGGAAUUCAUAAUGCAAUUUGUCCGGCACAAUAUGUUGCAAAUAAAAUCCGCAAGGUAGCCAGUCAUUUGAGUGGUGACAAUAUCUCAGUCAUUGUAGUUGACCUGAAGCACCAAAUGAAGGAGCUGCAACAUAAGGGGUGAAAGCAGUAUCACCAUACAGGUUGGCUGGGCAGAAGCACGGUUACUACGAGGACUCGUAUGGGCUUAUUUGGAUAACACUUUGGUGAAUGGAGCAAAAGCUACACAUAGUGGAGAUGCUGCUUCCAAUAAUUUCAUAUUUCCAAGGAACGGAUUCUUAUGAGGAUGAACAGAAUUGAUGCUGCAACAGAAGGAAUAUCUGCGUAAAGCUCAUUGAGAAAAGCAACCGUAAAGGGAUGAUUUGGGAUAGUAUCUUGGAGUGCAUGAAGAGGUGUUGUUUCAUCCUCCCUUCCAAGAUAGGGAUAGCUCAUUAGUGUGCAAAUGUUUAACUUGGGAGAAAUAGGAAAGUGUUCAGAUGUGGGGAUAGUUCUUGGAGGUAUGUGCCUUACUUAGGCUCAGUGUUGUUCGGUAUUUGGUAUUUGUAACUCAGAAGUUUACCGAUUAUCCUUUCUCACCAUUGUUAUUAAUUGGACUGAUUAUCUUUUAUAUCUUACUCUUAUUUACUAGUUUUAUUUUGGUAAGUUUUGUAAUGAUCUUU
RNA transcript from Momordica charantia (bitter melon), 1906 nucleotides. It is a transcript of the gene named putative protein phosphatase 2C 6, with no coding region annotated. NCBI's taxonomy places the organism in Eukaryota, Viridiplantae, Streptophyta, Magnoliopsida, Cucurbitales, Cucurbitaceae. The record is from RefSeq and is a predicted model, not a curated record.